This 537-nucleotide ribosomal RNA is filed under the name uncultured bacterium. RNAcentral's name for it is "bacterial SSU rRNA". It matches the Rfam family "Bacterial small subunit ribosomal RNA", at positions 767 to 1306 of the family's 1533-position model. The record is from RNAcentral.
AGCUAAUAGAUACCCUGGUAGUCCACGCCCUAAACGAUGUCUACUAGUUGUUGGUGGAGUAAAAUCCAUGAGUAAACGCAGCUAACGCGUGAAGUAGACCGCCUGGGGAGUACGGUCGCAAGAUUAAAACUCAAAGGAAUUGACGGGGGCCCGCACAAGCGGUGGAUUAUGUGGAUUAAUUCGAUGCAACGCGAAAAACCUUACCUGGCCUUGACAUGCCACUAACGAAGCAGAGAUGCAUUAGGUGCCCGUAAGGGAAAGUGGACACAGGUGCUGCAUGGCUGUCGUCAGCUCGUGUCGCGAGAUGUUGGGUUAAGUCCCGCAACGAGCGCAACCCUUGCCAUUAAUUGCCAUCAUUUAGUUGGGCACUUUAAUGGGACUGCCGGUGACAAACCGGAGGAAGGUGGGGAUGACGUCAAGUCCUCAUGGCCCUUAUGGCCAGGGCUUCACACGUAAUACAAUGGUCGGUACAGAGAGUUGCCAACCCGCGAGGGGUAGCUAAUCUCAGAAAGCCGAUCGUAGUCCGGAUUGUUCUCU